GGUUGUGGCUCAGUGGUAGAGUGCUUGUCUGGCAUGUGUGAGGCACUGGGUUCAAUUCUCAGCUCCG
This 67-nucleotide transfer RNA is filed under the name Marmota monax (woodchuck). RNAcentral's name for it is "tRNA.Ala". Lineage: Eukaryota; Metazoa; Chordata; Mammalia; Rodentia; Sciuridae. The record is from RNAcentral.